RNAcentral lists this ribosomal RNA (255 nucleotides) under uncultured bacterium. Its description in RNAcentral is "partial 16S ribosomal RNA". It matches the Rfam family "Bacterial small subunit ribosomal RNA", at positions 524 to 776 of the family's 1533-position model. The record is from RNAcentral.
UACAGAGGGGGCAAGCGUUGUUCGGAAUUACUGGGCGUAAAGCGUGCGCAGGCGGUUGUGCAAGACAGAUGUGAAAUCCCCGGGCUUAACCUGGGAAUGGCAUUUGUGACUGCACGGCUAGAGUGUGUCAGAGGGGGGUAGAAUUCCACGUGUGAGCAGUGAAAUGCGUAGAUAUGUGGAGGAAUACCGAUGGCGAAGGCAGCCCCCUGGGAUAACACUGACGCCUCAUGCACGAAAGCGUGGGGAGCAAACAGG